AUUGAACGCUGGCGGCAUGCCUUACACAUGCAAGUCGAACGGCAGCACGGGAGCAAUCCUGGUGGCGAGUGGCGAACGGGUGAGUAAUGUAUCGGAACGUAUCUUUCAGUGGGGGAUAACGUAGCGAAAGUUACGCUAAUACCGCAUAUUCUGUGAGCAGGAAAGCAGGGGAUCGCAAGACCUUGCGCUGAUUGAGCGGCCGAUAUCAGAUUAGCUAGUUGGUGAGGUAAAGGCUCACCAAGGCGACGAUCUGUAGCGGGUCUGAGAGGAUGAUCCGCCACACUGGAACUGAGACACGGUCCAGACUCCUACGGGAGGCAGCAGUGGGGAAUUUUGGACAAUGGGCGCAAGCCUGAUCCAGCCAUGCCGCGUGAGUGAAGAAGGCC
Molecule: ribosomal RNA, 386 nt
Filed under: uncultured bacterium
Lineage: Bacteria
Description: bacterial SSU rRNA
Rfam family: Bacterial small subunit ribosomal RNA
Source: RNAcentral